This 253-nucleotide ribosomal RNA is filed under the name uncultured bacterium. RNAcentral's name for it is "partial 16S ribosomal RNA". It matches the Rfam family "Bacterial small subunit ribosomal RNA", at positions 524 to 776 of the family's 1533-position model. The record is from RNAcentral.
GACGGAGGAGGCAAGCGUUAUCCGGAAUGAUUGGGCGUAAAGCGUCCGCAGGUGGCUAUGUAAGUCUGCUGUUAAAGAGUCUAGCUCAACUAGAUAAAGGUGGUGGAAACUACAUAGCUAGAGUACGUUCGGGGCAGAGGGAAUUCCUGGUGUAGCGGUGAAAUGCGUAGAUAUCAGGAAGAACACCGGUGGCGAAAGCGCUCUGCUAGGCCGUAACUGACACUGAGGGACGAAAGCUAGGGGAGCGAAUGGG